Molecule: long non-coding RNA, 377 nt
Filed under: Nicotiana benthamiana
Lineage: Eukaryota; Viridiplantae; Streptophyta; Magnoliopsida; Solanales; Solanaceae
Description: long non-coding RNA (NBEN_LNC019937)
Source: RNAcentral
UUUAGCAGUUUGGAUGGGGCUGCACGUAAUAUCGUAAGAGCCUCCCUCCAUCUCCACAGUCUUUCAGAGAAUGGCAGAAGGCACUGCAAAAUUGACAAACGCCAUUCCCAAUCCUCAAUAAAAAUUUUGGCAUUCAUAACUUUCAGAGAAUGGCAGAAGGCACUGCAAAAUUGACAAACGCCAUUCCCAAUCCUCAAUAAAUCUUUUGGCAUUCAUAAUUCUCCAUUCUAUGGCUUCUUUGAUACCAGCAGACAUAUUUACUUCCCCGUUAUUCUCCUUCUCUGAGUUUGAAGAUGGUAGAUAUUGCCGCAAUAUAUCUAAUAGUUGCCCUAUAAACGUUACAACGGUCUUAUUUCGCCCAUCAUGAGUUACAUCCU